AUCGAUGUUGCAUAACGUCAAACUACUACCCAUACGGUGCAUUGUGUUCAUAAUGUAUGCUAAUUGUGCUAUACAACAUCAAUUUCCUAUUCAAUAUAUUUUAAUACAAUAGUAACUAGGUGUUUAGAUCCAUAAUAUUGAAUAACAUUAUAUACUAGUAGUAUCCAGGGAUGCAUGAUCAGUUUUCAUUAUUUCCUCCUUUAAAACAAACUACACAUUUUAUCAACCC
RNAcentral lists this long non-coding RNA (229 nucleotides) under Mytilus galloprovincialis (Mediterranean mussel). Lineage: Eukaryota; Metazoa; Mollusca; Bivalvia; Mytilida; Mytilidae. The record is from RNAcentral.